Molecule: long non-coding RNA, 1357 nt
Filed under: Anas platyrhynchos platyrhynchos (common mallard)
Lineage: Eukaryota; Metazoa; Chordata; Aves; Anseriformes; Anatidae
Description: lncRNA (ENSAPLG00000017739.1)
Source: RNAcentral
AUGUUGUUUUGGAUGGAAAUAGGUCAUUGUGGAAGAAACUUCUGUUAUACUUGGUAUCUUGCUUCUCUUCGGAGCCGCAAGGGUCAGAUAGGUCAUUUUGGUAGGCAUACUUAUAUAUUUUUUUUUUCUUUAUUUUUUUUUUUUUUUUUCAGCUGGGAACCUAAAUUGUUGUGUUGUGUUGUUGUUUUUUUUUUUUGUUUUUCUUUCUGUUUUAAGGAAGAUGUGAGACUCCUGAGCAUCAAAGGUUGGAGCCUUCCCCUCUACCCCCAGCCCGGCUCACAGCGCUGCCGUGUGCCCAUGAGGCAGCGAUGUCCCAUCCUGGGCACACUCUCAGUGCUGAACCAUGCCUGUGUCUGAGUACCUUCUGGGCAGCAGGACUAGCAUUUGCCAUUUGUGUUCUCUUGUUCCCUUCCUAGUGUGAAAUUUUUAUAAACUAUUUAAAGAAUAUAUUAAUUGCUGUGAUCAGUUAUGUACGAAGUGAGACCUCGUACUUGGAUGUUCAAGUGCUUCAGGAAACGCUGCUCAGCCAGAACAGACCUAGAAUCCCCUCAGUGGAAGGGCAGGAAGACCCUGGGAAUGACAGAGGUGUAUUACAUGCCAGGGUGAUGCAGGUGCUCCUCAUGUCCUACCUACCCAGCGUGGUGAAGACCUGCAGGGGGUUGCUGGAGAAGCACAUGGAAUGGAAUAGCAGUUUGUUUCAUGUUGUGUCUGUUAAGAGACUUCUUCCUACAGAAAUUUUUCCUCUGCACAGCUCCUGGGUAACUUGCUGGGAUGGCAAUGUUCCCAUGCUGCUGUCCAAACUGAAGAGAAUUGCAAACCCCAGAGGGUUUCUUGAAAAACAACAGCAGUUCCUGUGGGCUUUGCAAAUGAAUAUUUGUGCAGACUCGUGAGUUAAUCUGGUUAGUAGACGUGUGAGAAUCGCCUUUUUCACAAAGUGUGGAGGUCAGUAAAGCAGCAUGUUGUAAGAACAAAAGGAAGUUUAAUAGAAGUGGUGAAUUGAGCAGGUUCAAAGGGGGAAUUUUUUUUUUAAAGUCAUAUGCAGCAGCACCAUAAACAGACACUAAAACAAUGGGGCAUGGGUGCGCUUCCAGCAUCCCAUACUUGGUGUUUGUGGACAUUUUGUUGGUACAAAAAGAAGGGACUGCAGAAAGUGGCCGGGCUCAUGUUCUCCCCAAACAUCUCCUGUUGUCACUGUCAGAGACAGAUGAACAUAUAGGAUGAGAUGGCUUGACCCAGUACAGUAUUUUUAUGUGCUAUGAAGCAGCCUCAGAAGCUGUGCAGAAACAAAGCAGGUCUGCAUGUUGGAGCCAAGCUGGGGGCAAAGACUUUGCUGGUGAAUUUGGUUUAGCUCACUCCC